This 347-nucleotide ribosomal RNA is filed under the name uncultured eukaryote. RNAcentral's name for it is "SSU rRNA". It matches the Rfam family "Eukaryotic small subunit ribosomal RNA", at positions 594 to 945 of the family's 1831-position model. The record is from RNAcentral.
AUAGCGUAUAUUAAUAUUGUUGCGGUUAAAAAGCUCGUAGUUGGAUCUCGGUUUCGGGCGAGUGGUGCACCUUGCGGUGUUUACUGCCUGCCCGGACGAUUUUGUUGGUUCGUUUAUGGUUCUCUUAACCGAGUGCCAUAAGUGGCCAGCACGUUUACUUUGAAAAAAUUGGAGUGCUCAAAGCAGGCGCUACAGCCUGAACAUUAGUGCAUGGAAUAAUGGAAUAGGAUCUCGGUUCUAUUUCGUUGGCUUUCGGAGUCGAGGUAAUGAUUAAGAGGGACAGACGGGGGCAUUCGUAUUACGGUGUUAGAGGUGAAAUUCUUGGAUCGCCGUAAGACGAACUACUG